CUCACAGGAGGACGAUAGUGAUGAUUUAAGGUAUGUAGUAGUGAACAAAAAAAACAAUCUUAAAACAAAAAGAGAAACUGAUGGCAAUAGAAAUAAAUAUGUAGUCCGGAAAAUGGAUCUGACAAAGCUAUAGUACUUUCAAAGUGGCUCCUAAAAAGACAUUCUUAUGUUUUUCGACUUGAUCUAGAGACCACUUGUAAAAACAGAUUUUCCAGAUGUUAAAUGUUAAACGAUUUGGUUAACAAGAAAAACACAAUGGAUGCCAACAGAUAGUCACAAGGUACUUAUAUAUGGCGUUUUUUUCGAAGAAAAGCGAGGAAAGAAGGAAACACAUCCAGCACAGCAAAAAGUGUUCAUCAAGAUUUUAUCUGCGAAUGUCUAGUUCUUGAGGAAUAAACUUAAUUGUGUCAAGUAUUUUUUACUUAGAUCAAUACUGUGUAAAUUCGUAUAAGGUAGAAAUAAUUAUGCUUUAAAUUAAAUCAUUAAGAUUAAA
Molecule: long non-coding RNA, 493 nt
Organism: Zophobas morio
Lineage: Eukaryota; Metazoa; Arthropoda; Insecta; Coleoptera; Tenebrionidae
Exons: 2
Source: RefSeq, a predicted model, not a curated record